CAUAAGACUGGAAGCCUCGCAGGUGUGGCUGCUGUGUCACAGGUGUAUCAGUAGGUCCCACAGAGGUGAGGGGGUAUGUCCACUCUCAGUAUUCUGACCUGUGAACAUUUGAAUCGUUAGUACCUUAGAAUU
This is a small nucleolar RNA of Psammomys obesus (fat sand rat), 132 nucleotides long. RefSeq annotates it as small nucleolar RNA SNORA17. The transcript has a single exon. Lineage: Eukaryota; Metazoa; Chordata; Mammalia; Rodentia; Muridae. The record is from RefSeq and is a predicted model, not a curated record.